CCAAUUUCCAGUUUGUCAAUUUAAAACCAUAUACAGUCUACUAUUGUCUUGACUCCAAGUAACAACUAUACAAUCUAAAUUUAAUUAACUUGAAUAAACAACUAAAUUAUGGAGAACAAAACUAUCUAAAUUUCAGAGGACUAUUCAACAGUAGAGCAACAACAGUAGACUUAUUUCAUUUUCAUUUUAGCUGAAAUUUACACACUGAGGUUCAGAGCAUGUACCUGAAAUUUGAAGUGAAGUAAGAAGAAGAGUAAGUCAGGAAUAGCGAUUACAUCAACCAAUGAUAACCCAUAGCUCAAACAACAACAAUUAGGAACAGUUGGGCCAAAAAUCACUUCAGAACCCAGUAACUCAUCACUGAAUACAACACAAAGCCUAAUACCCCUAAAGCUGACCCAAAACAACUUACAAUCACACCAGUAGUACUCAAAAAAUUUCAGCAAUCAAGUCACAAAAGUGAGAGCCAAUAGAACAGUAACUUUGUUGCUAUUUUUUUGAGUUUUUCUAACCUCUACUACAGAUUUGGAAUUUAAAGUGGAGAUAGUAUCUGGAAAUUAAAACUAACUGAAAAUGGAACUAUCAGGGGGAAUUUUUGAGAGAAGACUAAGAUAUCUCGAUGGAACAGUACACUGCUGAUAUUUUUUAAGGCUUUUCUGUAUUUUUCUACUAUUUUUGGAUUUUAUCAUUCGAAAAUCUAAAACUGAAUCUGGACAAAAGAAACAAGAGAAAAUGCUAAUUGGGAGGAACUUUGGGCUAUAAAAAGACCCCCUCAAAAGGCACAUGCAAUGCCUAUUCAUAGGCAACUAAAGGGUGGUGAAUUAGAUUUUUGUUUUAUAUUUUAGUCCCUCUCUCUUUAUUCUUUUGUUCCUUUUAUUUCUAUGUUUUAGAACAAAUGACUCUUAUCUAGAAACUCCUAGGAGUUACACAUUAUUCGUGUGACUAUCAAAUUUCCACAAUGCCCCUGAACGCAACUCAGAUUUACUAAACUGUUUCAAACGACUAAUUCCAAUUAUCUUAAUCAUAUUCUAUCCUACCCCCUCUAUUAAACCCGAUAAGUCAAUUAAUUACACAAGCAACUAAUAAUCUAACUAUUCAGACUAAGCAAUCAAAAAUUAACCCAAGUAAACACUUAUCAUGACGAAUUAAUCUACCAAUUAACUAAUCAAUUAUGAAAUUCAAAACCAACUGGAAUUAAACUCAAGCAAAAAUCCCAAAACUUACACAUGCAACUAAACAGAAGGAAAGAAGAAAUGGACUAAUAAAGAAAAAGAAGGUUAUGAACUCAUUGAUAUACACAGAAACUCCGGCCAGCCAUCGACGUCCAAAUCCUCCAAAACUUCUGACACGUAACAUCUCCAAUCAUCUGUUUUCAUAUGAAAACACAUGGUUAGGGAUAUUACGGUCCUAAAUCACAAAGAUUUUGAGUUAGGGUUUUUUGGCCGAAAAUUGUUAAAUUGCUAUUAGAGCAAAUCCCGGCAGAUUCGAGAGAUGCCACUAUGGGGGUUGGGUGGAGUAUGCCUGGGUGGUUCUAUGGUGUAAACUUGGGAACAUUUGGCGUAAGUAGUGUUCGUUGGAAAAUCAUCCAUGAAAUAUUCAACGGUUUCUAGUGAGAUUCAAAGGAAACUAAGGGUGGGAAUGGGUAGAGGUGAGCAAUGUAAGUUAGUGGUGUAGAUUUGGUAGUCAUUGGCAUAAGUGGUGUUCACCGCCGAUGGCAGCUCCAGCGGUGUUACAAUCUCUAGUACGAGGAAGAUGAGGUUAAGUAUUACAGUUGAUGACUAGAUUCGGACAGUUUU
Molecule: long non-coding RNA, 1796 nt
Filed under: Nicotiana benthamiana
Lineage: Eukaryota; Viridiplantae; Streptophyta; Magnoliopsida; Solanales; Solanaceae
Description: long non-coding RNA (NBEN_LNC026687)
Source: RNAcentral